UUGGUGUCUGCAUCUCUCACUGGGGCUUGC
RNAcentral lists this non-coding RNA (30 nucleotides) under Macaca fascicularis (crab-eating macaque). Lineage: Eukaryota; Metazoa; Chordata; Mammalia; Primates; Cercopithecidae. The record is from RNAcentral. RNAcentral also lists the same sequence under 1 other name.